ACGGAAAAAAAGCAGAAAAAUCCUGCAAGAGUGCCUAUGGGAGCGAUCUCACUUGCGUAGGCUUUGCAUGCUGCUCACACGUGCACACGCACAGCCAACGUAGGAUGUGUGCCCAUCCUGUCUGCGUGGAGCACGAGGCAUGGUCUGUGCACAGUCCUUUCAAGCUCGACUCCGUGCGCCAUGUGCGCUCGCCGUCCACGCGGUACCCCUGUACGCAGCACCCUACACGCUGUAGC
This 236-nucleotide long non-coding RNA is filed under the name Carica papaya (papaya). Its description in RNAcentral is "long non-coding RNA (CPAP_LNC006147)". Lineage: Eukaryota; Viridiplantae; Streptophyta; Magnoliopsida; Brassicales; Caricaceae. The record is from RNAcentral.